This 253-nucleotide ribosomal RNA is filed under the name uncultured bacterium. Its description in RNAcentral is "partial 16S ribosomal RNA". It matches the Rfam family "Bacterial small subunit ribosomal RNA", at positions 524 to 776 of the family's 1533-position model. The record is from RNAcentral.
UACGAAGGGGGCUAGCGUUGCUCGGAAUGACUGGGCGUAAAGGGCGCGUAGGCGGAUGGUACAGUCAGAUGUGAAAUUCCUGGGCUUAACCUGGGGGCUGCAUUUGAUACGUGUUGUCUAGAGUGAGGAAGAGGGUCGUGGAAUUCCCAGUGUAGAGGUGAAAUUCGUAGAUAUUCGCAAGAACACCAGUGGCGAAGGCGGCUCACUGGCCCGGUACUGACGCUGAGGUGCGAAAGCGUGGGGAGCAAACAGG